Molecule: ribosomal RNA, 564 nt
Filed under: Rhizobium alamii
Lineage: Bacteria; Pseudomonadati; Pseudomonadota; Alphaproteobacteria; Hyphomicrobiales; Rhizobiaceae
Description: bacterial SSU rRNA
Rfam family: Bacterial small subunit ribosomal RNA
Source: RNAcentral
AUGCAGUCGGGCGCCCCGCAAGGGGAGCGGCAGACGGGUGAGUAACGCGUGGGAACGUACCCUUUACUACGGAAUAACGCAGGGAAACUUGUGCUAAUACCGUAUGUGCCCUUCGGGGGAAAGAUUUAUCGGUAAGGGAUCGGCCCGCGUUGGAUUAGCUAGUUGGUGGGGUAAAGGCCUACCAAGGCGACGAUCCAUAGCUGGUCUGAGAGGAUGAUCAGCCACAUUGGGACUGAGACACGGCCCAAACUCCUACGGGAGGCAGCAGUGGGGAAUAUUGGACAAUGGGCGCAAGCCUGAUCCAGCCAUGCCGCGUGAGUGAUGAAGGCCCUAGGGUUGUAAAGCUCUUUCACCGGAGAAGAUAAUGACGGUAUCCGGAGAAGAAGCCCCGGCUAACUUCGUGCCAGCAGCCGCGGUAAUACGAAGGGGGCUAGCGUUGUUCGGAAUUACUGGGCGUAAAGCGCACGUAGGCGGACAUUUAAGUCAGGGGUGAAAUCCCAGAGCUCAACUCUGGAACUGCCUUUGAUACUGGGUGUCUUGAGUAUGGAAGAGGUGAGUGGAAUU